This 157-nucleotide ribosomal RNA is filed under the name Citrobacter freundii. RNAcentral describes it as "partial 23S ribosomal RNA". It matches the Rfam family "Bacterial large subunit ribosomal RNA", at positions 2774 to 2925 of the family's 2925-position model. Lineage: Bacteria; Pseudomonadati; Pseudomonadota; Gammaproteobacteria; Enterobacterales; Enterobacteriaceae. The record is from RNAcentral.
AAAGCAUCUAAGCACGAAACUUGCCCCGAGAUGAGUUCUCCCUGAGACUAUAAGUCUCCUGAAGGAACGUUAAAGACGAUGACGUUGAUAGGUCGGGUGUGUAAGUGUAGCGAUACAUUGAGCUAACCGAUACUAAUGAACCGUGAGGCUUAACCUU